AUUACUAAGCGGAGGAAAAGAAACUAACCAGGAUUCCCUCAGUAGCGGCGAGCGAAGAGGGAAGAGCCCAGCGCCGAAUCNCCUGGCCAGCGGUUGGUCACGGGAAAUGUGGCGUAUAGGAGUUCGUUAUUCCGGUGUCGAUCGGGGGCCUAAGUCCUAGUGAAAGGGGCUUCUCCCAGAGAAGGUGGCAGGCCGGUGAGGCCCUGUCGCGCCGGGACUCGGACUCCUUUGAGUAGGGUUGCUUGUGAAUGCAAUCCGAAGUGGGUGGUAAACUCCAUCCAAGGCUAAAUACUGGGGGCAAGACCGAUAGACAACAAGU
This 319-nucleotide ribosomal RNA is filed under the name Umbra pygmaea (eastern mudminnow). Its description in RNAcentral is "eukaryotic LSU rRNA". It matches the Rfam family "Eukaryotic large subunit ribosomal RNA", at positions 42 to 349 of the family's 3401-position model. The record is from RNAcentral. Lineage: Eukaryota; Metazoa; Chordata; Actinopteri; Esociformes; Umbridae.